RNAcentral lists this ribosomal RNA (401 nucleotides) under uncultured euryarchaeote. RNAcentral's name for it is "bacterial SSU rRNA". It matches the Rfam family "Archaeal small subunit ribosomal RNA", at positions 335 to 736 of the family's 1478-position model. Lineage: Archaea; Methanobacteriati; Methanobacteriota. The record is from RNAcentral.
GCAGGCGCGAAAACUUUACAAUGCUGGAAACAGCGAUAAGGGGACCCCGAGUGCCAGGUUACAAAUCUGGCUGUCGUGAUGCCUAAAAAGCAUUGCAUAGCAAGGGCCGGGCAAGACCGGUGCCAGCCGCCGCGGUAACACCGGCGGCUCGAGUGGUAACCGUUAUUAUUGGGUCUAAAGGGUCUGUAGCCGGCCGGAUAAGUCUCUUGGGAAAUCUGGCAGCUUAACUGUCAGGCUUUCAGGAGAUACUGUCUGGCUCGAGGCCGGGAGAGGUGAGAGGUACUUCAGGGGUAGGGGUGAAAUCUUGUAAUCCUAGAAGGACCACCGGUGGCGAAGGCGUCUCACUAGAACGAAUCCGACGGUGAGGGACGAAGCCCUGGGGCGCAAACGGGAUUAGAUAC